GCAGAUAAAAAGAUAUAUCCAUCUAUAAUGAAAUUUUAUUAGUAAAACUAUGCAAUCAUAAUUUCCUAAUUAAUAAUGUUUCUGAGAUUUUACUUGAAAAACAAUUUUUUCUUUUUGCUAAUGAAAGAGACUUUUAUUAAUAACACAAACGGAAGUUAUUAUAUGAUGGUAACUGAAUGUAUAGUCCCAGUUCCAUAGAGGUCUUCCUUUAGUUCAUUAAGGAUAAAUGGGGGUGGGUCUACAAAAAUCAAAAUGUUUUUCCCCAUAACUGGACCUCUGCCUUUCCCAUAGCAGGCUAGUUUAUCUGCUCCAGCAUUAACUUCCCUAAGGAUGUGGCACACCUGUGGGCUGCCCAGGUUCUUCAUUAGGUACCUGCAAUCCAUUAACAUCUGUGAGAAAAUUAGAUUAUUAAAUGAUAAUAGUUGAAUCAAUACCUGUGAAUCAAUUUCCACAGUAAGUGAAACUAAGUUGUUACUGAGUGCCAAGCUUAGACCAUUGUAGAAGGCUAGUAUUUCCAUAUGAAUGGCAGAGUGUGUAGUUGUGAUUCGAAUGGCUAAAUAUUGGACUCAUAGGGUGAUUGUACAAUCGUUACUAGGCUACAAGUUAUAGCUUAGGAGAUUAAUAAAAUUCUAAGUGACGUUACAUGCAUAAAAUGACUCUCUUAUUUCCAAAAAGGAAAAGAAAAGAAAAUAAUACAUCUGAGUUAGACUAGCUAUUUAAUUUCAUGUACUUAUGUUCUUUGUUAACAAUAUCAGUUAUGUAUCAUGUACUCAAAAGUUACUCAUGAAGAAGAAAAACUAUCCAUCUUUAGAAUAACAUUAGGUUUUCCUAGGUAGUUAAACUACUUGACAAGAACAUUAAUUAAAUCAAUUC
RNAcentral lists this long non-coding RNA (873 nucleotides) under Nicotiana tabacum (common tobacco). RNAcentral's name for it is "long non-coding RNA (NTAB_LNC012097)". The record is from RNAcentral. Lineage: Eukaryota; Viridiplantae; Streptophyta; Magnoliopsida; Solanales; Solanaceae.